This 533-nucleotide ribosomal RNA is filed under the name uncultured bacterium. RNAcentral's name for it is "bacterial SSU rRNA". It matches the Rfam family "Bacterial small subunit ribosomal RNA", at positions 774 to 1304 of the family's 1533-position model. The record is from RNAcentral.
AGUGAAUAGAUACCCGGGUAGUCCACGCCAUAAACGAUGACAACUAGACGUCGAGAGGAUUUGCCUCACGGUGUCGCAGCUAACGCGUUAAGUUGUCCGCCUGGGGAGUACGGCCGCAAGGUUGAAACUCAGAGGAAUUGACGGGGACCCGCACAAGCGGUGGAGCAUGUGGUUUAAUUCGAUGCAACGCGAAGAACCUUACCUGGCCUUGACAUGUCUGGAAGACCGCAGAGAUGUGGUUGUGUCCGAAAGGAAACCAGAACACAGGUGCUGCAUGGCUGUCGUCAGCUCGUGUCGUGAGAUGUUGGGUUAAGUCCCGCAACGAGCGCAACCCUUGUCCUUAGUUGCCAGCACUUCGGGUGGGCACUCUAAGGAGACCGCCGGUGACAAACCGGAGGAAGGUGGGGAUGACGUCAAGUCAUCAUGGCCUUUAUGGCCAGGGCUACACACGUGCUACAAUGGUCGGUACAAAGGGUUGCCAACGCGCGAGCGGGAGCCAAUCCCAUAAAGCCGAUCGUAGUCCGGAUCGGAGU